GGCUAUGGCCACGCCACCCUGAACAUGCCCGAUCUCGUCUGAUCUUGGAAGCCAAGAAGCGAGGUUGGGCCUGGUUGGAUGGGAGACCACCUUGGAAUACCAGGUGCUAUAAGUG
This 115-nucleotide ribosomal RNA is filed under the name Pteropus alecto (black flying fox). The record is from RNAcentral. RNAcentral also lists the same sequence under 1 other name. Lineage: Eukaryota; Metazoa; Chordata; Mammalia; Chiroptera; Pteropodidae.